This 427-nucleotide ribosomal RNA is filed under the name uncultured bacterium. RNAcentral describes it as "bacterial SSU rRNA". It matches the Rfam family "Bacterial small subunit ribosomal RNA", at positions 355 to 775 of the family's 1533-position model. The record is from RNAcentral.
UCGAGAAUUUUUCUCAAUGGGCGAAAGCCUGAAGGAGCGACGCCGCGUGGGGGAUGAAUGGCUUCGGCCCGUAAACCCCUGUCAUUCGGGAUCAAUGCCUGUUUUUUAAUACGAGGCAGGUUGAUAGUACCGGAAGAGGAAGGGACGGCUAACUCUGUGCCAGCAGCCGCGGUAAUACAGAGGUCCCAAGCGUUGUUCGGAUUCACUGGGCGUAAAGGGUGCGUAGGUGGUUGGGUAAGUUUGGUGUGAAAUCUCCGAGCUUAACUCGGAAACUGCAUUGAAUACUAUUCGACUAGAGGGUUGGAGGGGGGACUGGAAUACUUGGUGUAGCAGUGAAAUGCGUAGAUAUCAAGUGGAACACCAGUGGCGAAGGCGAGUCCCUGGACAACUCCUGACACUGAGGCACGAAAGCUAGGGGAGCAAACAG